Molecule: long non-coding RNA, 1231 nt
Filed under: Anser brachyrhynchus (Pink-footed goose)
Lineage: Eukaryota; Metazoa; Chordata; Aves; Anseriformes; Anatidae
Description: lncRNA (ENSABRG00000010492.1)
Source: RNAcentral
CUGCUCACAGAGGCCACCCCUGCAGCUGUCCUGCUACCAAAACCUUGCCACACAAACCCAGUACAAAAACCAAAGCUGCCUCCAUGCUGCCUGCCUCAGCCAGCAUGAAACAGCCAUCCAAGGAACACAGCUGAAGGACAGAGGUUCUCUUCUUCUGAUAACAUUUUAUCCAUAUGGUAAAAGUGUUCUCCAGAGGGUAUAGAGCACAAAGUCUGCCCUACUGAACUGAACUGGAUAAGACACCUCCGCUCUGAUCUUCAGACUAGUCUCCUUGUUGCCUUCUUCCCUGUUGUGCUUGGCAGGCUGCAGCAGAACGCCGGCUGGGAGCCAGAUCCUUAUCCUUCACCCUCACCGAGGAUGUGCACCCAGUGAAGAACCAAGGUUUGCAUCAUGUGCCAGACAAAAGAUAUCUCAGAAGAAAGAACUGCAAAAACAUACACAUCCUAAAAAUCCUCCUCCAAACCCUGCCCAUCCACCUGCCAAAUCCAUGUAGGCUCCACUGAUGCUCCAAAUAUUCUAGAAAAAUCAGCAGAGCAGUCUCCAAAUGAGAUAAGAAGGAACAGACUGUACUUCCAGAUGAAGUCUCAGGGAGAAAAAGGAAUAAUUUUAUUGCUUGAAAGUAUUUAUAGUCAUUAAAAAAGCAGUAGGAUGCUGAAGAAAUCUGACUGAGUUUCUACUGCAAGAAGAGAAAUCAGCCAAAAGCGAUUCAGAAGUCCUUCCUCACCUCAUUAGGGCAUCAGUUUCCCGAUGCACAAACUCUGUAGCUAGACCCUCUGAAUCAGUUGUCACAACCAAUUUAUGCCCACAGUUUCAUUUUUAAUCUGAGGUCUCAGCAGCCAAGCAGUGCAACCUGACCCUAGCUCGCACAGAGUGGCUGUUAAGGAAUAAGUGCUGGUUUUGGUAAUUUGACAAGAAUCGCUAGAGAGGGGGCAGAGCGGAUGCGGGAAAAGCUCCUUUGGGUUUGCAGAAGGAGACAAGGAGUGUGGUGACCAGGAAGCAGGGCCACUGUCUACUGUUAUCUGGUAAUGCUGUUUAUGCUGCCUGAUUAGUUGUGAAAUUUUGGGCAGUGACUUUUUGAAACUGUACUAAAUUUUGGUAUCUAAAACAUAGACUUGAGCUUUGAUGAUUGGUGGAGGAAACAUCUAGGAAAAUUAGAUCAGAUUAAAAGUGCACAUUUUAAAUGUCCAAGACACAGACAAAUCCUGCUUUUUGUAACUGUCACCUGUAGAGG